GCCUCAGUAGCUCAGUGGCCAGAGCAGCUGAUUUGUAAUCAGCCGGUCCGGGGUUCGACUCCUCGCUGAGGCUCCA
RNAcentral lists this transfer RNA (76 nucleotides) under Dehalococcoidia bacterium. Its description in RNAcentral is "tRNA-Thr". It matches the Rfam family "tRNA". From Rfam's summary of the family: Transfer RNA (tRNA) molecules are approximately 80 nucleotides in length. Their secondary structure includes four short double-helical elements and three loops (D, anti-codon, and T loops). Lineage: Bacteria; Bacillati; Chloroflexota; Dehalococcoidia. The record is from RNAcentral.